AACGAACGCUGGCGGCAUGCCUAACACAUGCAAGUCGAACGAUGCCUUCGGGCAUAGUGGCGCACGGGUGCGUAACGCGUGGGAAUCUGCCUUUCGGUUCGGAAUAACUCAGGGAAACUUGAGCUAAUACCGGAUAACGUCGCAAGACCAAAGAUUUAUCACCGAAAGAUGAGCCCGCGUAGGAUUAGCUAGUUGGUGAGGUAAAGGCUCACCAAGGCGACGAUCCUUAGCUGGUCUGAGAGGAUGAUCAGCCACACUGGGACUGAGACACGGCCCAGACUCCUACGGGAGGCAGCAGUGGGGAAUAUUGGACAAUGGGCGAAAGCCUGAUCCAGCAAUGCCGCGUGAGUGAUGAAGGCCUUAGGGUUGUAAAGCUCUUUUACCCGGGAAGAUAAUGACGGUAUCGGGAGAAUAAGCCCCGGCUAACUCCGUG
RNAcentral lists this ribosomal RNA (433 nucleotides) under uncultured bacterium. Its description in RNAcentral is "partial 16S ribosomal RNA". It matches the Rfam family "Bacterial small subunit ribosomal RNA", at positions 29 to 507 of the family's 1533-position model. The record is from RNAcentral.